UGACCUGCCCGGUGAAUUUUUUUUUAACGGCCGCGGUAUCUUGACCGUGCAAAGGUAGCAUAAUCAAUUGUUUUAUAAUUGAAGACUGGAAUGAAUGGUUGAAUGAAAUAUUAGCUGUCUUAUUUGUAUUUAUUAGAAUUUAGCUUUUAGAUGAAGAGAUUUAGAUGUAAUUGAUAGACAAGAAGACCCUGUUGAGCUUUAAAUAAUUUUAGAGAUGUAUUUUAUUAUAUCAAAUAAAUAAAUUUUAGAUUUUUUUUGGUUGGGGCGACUGAGGAAUAAUAAAAGCUUCCUUUAAUUUAGAUAGAUUGUUCAAUUUUGAUCCAAUAUUAUUGAUUAAAAAAAAUAGUUACCACAGGGAUAACAGCAUACAUCUUCUUUGAGAGUUCAUAUCGAAAAGAGGGGUUGUGACCUCGAUGUUGGACUAAAAUAUCCCAUACAUGUACGCUGUUUAUGAUGGUGUGG
This 462-nucleotide ribosomal RNA is filed under the name Bellamya sp. 6 AJ-2009. RNAcentral's name for it is "partial 16S ribosomal RNA". It matches the Rfam family "Bacterial large subunit ribosomal RNA", at positions 1854 to 2576 of the family's 2925-position model. Lineage: Eukaryota; Metazoa; Mollusca; Gastropoda; Architaenioglossa; Viviparidae. The record is from RNAcentral.